This is a long non-coding RNA of Athalia rosae (coleseed sawfly), 2877 nucleotides long. RefSeq lists it as uncharacterized. NCBI's taxonomy places the organism in Eukaryota, Metazoa, Arthropoda, Insecta, Hymenoptera, Athaliidae. The transcript has 2 exons. The record is from RefSeq and is a predicted model, not a curated record.
UAAAAGUUCCUAUUAGACGUACGUACUACCGAAGUUGGGCAGAAUCGUUCAACGGUAAUUCCGUUGGUAGCUUUUGGGAUGGGUCUUAACCGACUCUCUUGAGGCGCUUGUAUGUGGUUACAAUUUACAAUAAAAGGCAUGUGCAUUAUUAGCUUUGGCGGUAUCCGUAAUCUCUAUGAGUUUAUACAGAGAGGACACGCAUACAUUUUAUGUAUAUAGGUGAUGGACAUGAAAUGAUGAUGUAUCGAGAUUGGAUAUCUAUCUCGUCAUGGGCUAGGCAUUCCUGUUACAUUAUUGACGAAAGAGUAUAUCCACCAACGAUGCUUGGUAGACGAGUUAUCCUACUUUUACCUACGAGUAAAGUAACAAUUUUCAGAUCAGAAGGAAUGAUAGUUUCAUCGUCAAUUCCAAAAGGUUUCAAAGUCGGUCGUUACAUGGGAUGUACACUCGGCGUAAUCAUAACUGGAGUAGUUUACGCCAAGUGAACGUACAAGGAAAAACGGUAAGUGGACGUUAUACCGACAACUACCGGUUGUUCGUUAAAUCGUGGACUGCGGAGUGCUGUCUUAUUCGAAGAGUAUAUAAGGAAAGUGGCUGCUUCGUAGAAAAAUUUACAACGAUUCAAUGCGGUAGGGUGUUAUGCAUCGGGGCGAAAGGUGUAGGCCUCGUGGAUGGCUCGAGAGGAAUCCUAUCGAGCGAAAUGAGAAAGUUUUCGAAAAGAUUCACCGUUGGGGCGAUCGCGAUCCGAGCAUCGGAGUCUGUGAGAGGAGUAAAAUGGGGAACGAAGUUCGAGAUCGACUUCUGGGUAAAGACUAGGCGCCGCGGCACUGCACACUUGUUGAGGGGAAACCUUCGGCAGCUACCGUCACCACCCCGCCUCUACCCCCUUCCAUCCCACCCGCGGAUCUAUUUCCCCCACUCCGGGGGCCGAACAACGCGACCCUGACCUUGCACCACUUCCGCGUUAUCCUUACGUUAGUAAGGUUCUAGCUAUGCUCGUGCCUACUACUCGUUGUCACUUCAUUUUGCUCGACCAAUGAUAUCGACCCGGUGCCGAAAAUUUCGGUCACCAACAGCGACCGAGAAAGAGAGAGUAGUAAAUGAAUUCUGAACAGGGGAUAAGUGAGGUUGACGAUCCCGGAAAAUCGUACUCCAAACCGCCUGGAUAUAUUUACAAAACAGAUUUUGCAAUGUAAGACAGAUCUGGUUGUCGUAAGGACACGCGAAGAGAAGAAAGAAAAAAUUAUACGUGCCCAAACGUACUUUUUCUAUGCACGAACACAUUUCUCCUAUGGCAAUAAUCUCGCGCUGUGAUGGUUAUUGAUUAAAAUGUGACACGACGUAUCUCUACUAUCAUAUUUUAACACGUGUGCACACACGCCUUACCUGCGCUGCUCGUAUUAUACGUGAAUCUGUUUAUCCAUGUCGAGAGAGAGAAUGAUAGUUCGUAACGUGUGUACGCGUACAAUCCAUAGACAAACUUCAUAUAUACAAUACGGGAGGGAUAUAAAAUUACCCGCGCGACUCGUGACGUGCGUGCGCGUUGUACGGUCCGCCGCUACGUAUGCACAUACGUGUCAUGUACGUACGUACGUAGAUAUAAUAUUCGAUAUGUGUAUACCUAUAACGUGUAGCAGGGUUAGUAACCCCUGGUGGUUUGAACGUCGUCGGUUGACGAGCCACAGGCGUUCUCCUUUUUCUCUUUUCCGCUUUCCCGUUCCUUCUUCCUGCCCUGCCGCGUUAUAAACCCCCGAACUACGGUGCUACAUGCUGAAUUUAUUCCCUCGUCGUUUUCGACGCGAGUUUUCCCCAACACCCUUCGAGUAGCGCCUUUUCAUCCCGCUACGGUUGUGCAGUGUAUCCGUAUACCUUGACGAUCUCCCUUAUCGCGAUAUCGCGUAUAAAAGCCGAUAGUAAAACGCGUGUCGGCAGUUCGCACGCGACGAAAAUAUCGCGAGUAGGGUAAAGAGGGAAAACACGGGAGUAGUAGGAGGAAUAAGAGGACGGAAUGAAUAAGGAAAAGGGGGAUAAUAAAGGGUGGGGGGAAUACGAAGUCUUCGGUUGCGUCAGACUCGACGGCAUUCGAUUCACAGACUGCAUAUCACUUCGGGACUCUGAAGGCGACGGUGCACGGGUUGUUGGUUCGCGGGAAGAACCCAAGAGACGCGAUUAGACGCGGCGAGUCACCGGGUAUCAGGUAUAGACCGACCGCACGGCAAUGGCACGACACACCGCGAGAGAACGGCAAGGGGAGAAGUGCUAGAAGUGAGUUUAAAGCGUGCCUACUACUCGAUGAUGCCGUUGCCGCAAUCUAUGCCGCCACGCGGACCCUUGAUCAAUGCAUUGCUACAGUCGCCGUGCCGGAAGCAGUGCGGCAAGUUCAAGGAACCGUCGAGUCAACCGUUGGCGAGAGCGGAGCGAAAUUAAUGCAUCGGCUCUUCGUAGGCGUUGACGACCGAUCGGCUAUGAGCGAGAGCACAGGGGGUUUACGAGUAAAUAUACACGCUAUGCUCAACGUGAAAGUCUUGGUCCCCUGGCAGCAUCACGCCGACCAAAUUAAAAGAAGGAGACAAAGAAAGAGAUGUGGAAGUUGAAACGAGAGAUGCAUGGAAACGAUGCCGACGAAGACAGCAUUAUUUGAUCAUGACGGUACCAGAGAGUUGAUCAUUUGCACGUUGCGACUAAAAAUUGGAAUAGCAAUGUAACGUUGCAGCGUAAAGUACACGCCUACUGCAACACAGGCUUCGGUUUCGCUCAAAACGACGGAUGUUUGCACAGGAAGUGGCGUUCGAAAAUUUACCAAAAGAAUAAUGAGAAUCAUCGCGGUAUAUUCAUCGAAAGUUUCUCCUGAAAAACAAUAAUCAUUUUCCAAAGGGU